GGUUGGGAUCAUACCAGCACUAAUGCACCGGAUCCCAUCAGAACUCCGCAGUCAAGCGUGCUUGGGCGAGAGUAGUACUAGGAUGGGUGACCCCCUGGGAAGUCCUCGUGUUGCAACCC
RNAcentral lists this ribosomal RNA (119 nucleotides) under Helianthus annuus (common sunflower). The record is from RNAcentral. Lineage: Eukaryota; Viridiplantae; Streptophyta; Magnoliopsida; Asterales; Asteraceae.